UAAAGUUGCGUCCCCAGCUCAGGCUCAAGAAGUGCACGCUGCUUUAAGGAAAUGGCUUCAUGAAAAUGUGAGCCCUCAAGUUGCUGAAUCAACCAGGAUUAUAUAUGGAGGUUCUGUAAAUGGAGCCAACUGCAAGGAACUUGCAGGACAACCUGAUGUCGAUGGAUUCCUUGUUGGUGGCGCUUCUUUGAAGCCGGAAUUUGUGGAGAUCAUCAAGGCCGCUACAGUGAAAUCUUCGACCUAAGGAGACUUUUGCAGUGUUUGCGUCAUCUCUUUACUGUUUUAGGUUUUUUGAGUGUUUUGUUUUAGGUUUUUUGAGUGUUUUGUUUUAGGUUUUUUGAGUGUUU
This 347-nucleotide unclassified non-coding RNA is filed under the name Hevea brasiliensis (rubber tree). The record is from RNAcentral. Lineage: Eukaryota; Viridiplantae; Streptophyta; Magnoliopsida; Malpighiales; Euphorbiaceae.